GGGGGGGGGGGGGGGGGGGGGGGGGGGGGGGAGGUGGAGGGGGGGGGCGGGGAGCUGGCGCCGCUGGCGGUAGCGGGGGACGGGGGGGUGACGCGUGGAUAAGCUACCUAUAAGACUGGGAGAAGUUCGGGCAGCCGGGGCUAAGACCGGAUAAUAUGGUGAACCGCAUUGUUCCAUAGGUAAAGACGGUGUUGCUGUCACUGCUAGAUGGCUCCGCGCCGCAUUAGCUAGUUGGUAAGGUAACGGCUUACCAAGGCAACGAUGCGUAGCCGACCUGAGAGGGUGAUCGGCCAAACUGUAACGGAGACACGGUCCAGACUCCUACGGGAGGCAGCAGUAGGGAAUCUUCCGCAAUGGGCGAAAGCCUGACGGAGCAACGCCGCGUGAGUGAUGAAGGUCUUCGGAUCGUAAAACUCUGUUAUUAGGGAAGAACAAAUGUGUAAGUAACUAUGCACGUCUUGACGGUACCUAAUCAGAAAGCCACGGCUAACUACGUG
RNAcentral lists this ribosomal RNA (497 nucleotides) under uncultured bacterium. RNAcentral describes it as "partial 16S ribosomal RNA". It matches the Rfam family "Bacterial small subunit ribosomal RNA", at positions 39 to 507 of the family's 1533-position model. The record is from RNAcentral.